This 253-nucleotide ribosomal RNA is filed under the name uncultured bacterium. RNAcentral describes it as "partial 16S ribosomal RNA". It matches the Rfam family "Bacterial small subunit ribosomal RNA", at positions 524 to 776 of the family's 1533-position model. The record is from RNAcentral.
UACGGAGGGUGCAAGCGUUAUCCGGAUUCACUGGGGUUAAAGGGUGCGUAGGCGGGUAUAUAAGUCAGUGGUGAAAGCUCCGGGCUUAACUUGGAAACUGCCAUUGAUACUGUAUAUCUUGAAUGUCGUAGAGGUUAGCGGAAUGUUGCAUGUAGCGGUGAAAUGCUUAGAUAUGUUACAGAACACCAAUUGCGAAGGCAGCUAACUAUGCGAUGAUUGACGCUGAGGCACGAAAGCGUGGGGAGCAAACAGG